AUCCUGUCGCCUUUCCCACGGCUGGUGCCGUGGACGUGCUCACGCUUCCCUCGCAGUGCGGAGCUGAGCGCUCGCACUGUAGCGGUGAUCCGCAGAGGCGAGAGCUCCUCGAUGUUCUCCAUCACCGCAGCGCUGGCAGAAACGUCUGAGCGCCUUAUGAUGGAUGAUGUGAGACAGGUGUGACCAACAGAGCGAAACGGGACAACUCCCAUCAGGUCCGUCUGGGUUUCAUCCUGGAAAGUCCGGAGGAUUCAGAGGAGCACCUGAUCCUCUCUGGAGACCUCGAAGAGGAAGAUCUCCACAGUACAUCAGGGCUCUAAAAAGGACAAAAACGAGCUCUUACACCAACAGAUGUUGACACCAUGAAAGCUAAGCCUCAAACUGUAUCUCAGCUCAUCAUUACUUUUCUAUAUCACUGUGAAAGUGUGGACAUUAAAAUCAUCCUGCCUCUUUAACACCAAAGGAUGAUCGCUUUGGUUUAG
This is a long non-coding RNA of Girardinichthys multiradiatus, 482 nucleotides long. RefSeq lists it as uncharacterized. The transcript has 3 exons. NCBI's taxonomy places the organism in Eukaryota, Metazoa, Chordata, Actinopteri, Cyprinodontiformes, Goodeidae. The record is from RefSeq and is a predicted model, not a curated record.